GCCGCGGUGGUGGAAUUGGUAGACACGCAGUCUUGAGGAGGCUGUGGGGAAACCCGUGAGAGUUCAAGUCUCUCCCGCGGCA
This 82-nucleotide transfer RNA is filed under the name Patescibacteria group bacterium. RNAcentral describes it as "tRNA-Leu". It matches the Rfam family "tRNA". Rfam says of the family: Transfer RNA (tRNA) molecules are approximately 80 nucleotides in length. The record is from RNAcentral.